Molecule: ribosomal RNA, 463 nt
Filed under: uncultured bacterium
Lineage: Bacteria
Description: bacterial SSU rRNA
Rfam family: Bacterial small subunit ribosomal RNA
Source: RNAcentral
GCUUAACACAUGCAAGUCGAGCGAAGCACUUUUUUAGAACUCUUCGGAGGGAAGAGAGGGUGACUUAGCGGCGGACGGGUGAGUAACGCGUGGGCAACCUGCCUUACACAGGGGGAUAACAAUUAGAAAUGAUUGCUAAUACCGCAUAAGACCCCAGUACCGCAUGGUACAGGGGUAAAAACUGAGGUGGUGUAAGAUGGGCCCGCGUCUGAUUAGGUAGUUGGUGGGGUAGAAGCCUACCAAGCCGACGAUCAGUAGCCGACCUGAGAGGGCGACCGGCCACAUUGGGACUGAGACACGGCCCAAACUCCUACGGGAGGCAGCAGUGGGGAAUAUUGCACAAUGGGGGAAACCCUGAUGCAGCGAUGCCGCGUGAGUGAGGAAGUAUUUCGGUAUGUAAAGCUCUAUCAGCAGGGAAGAAAAUGACGGUACCUGACUAAGAAGCCCCGGCUAACUACGUGCC